This 253-nucleotide ribosomal RNA is filed under the name uncultured bacterium. RNAcentral describes it as "partial 16S ribosomal RNA". It matches the Rfam family "Bacterial small subunit ribosomal RNA", at positions 524 to 776 of the family's 1533-position model. The record is from RNAcentral.
UACGUAGGGGGCAAGCGUUGUCCGGAUUUAUUGGGCGUAAAGAGCGUGUAGGCGGCUAGACAGGUCCGUUGUGAAAACUCGAGGCUCAACCUCGAGACGUCGAUGGAAACCAUCUGGCUAGAGUCCGGAAGAGGAGAGUGGAAUUCCUGGUGUAGCGGUGAAAUGCGCAGAUAUCAGGAAGAACACCCGUGGCGAAGGCGGCUCUCUGGUACGUGACUGACGCUGAGACGCGAAAGCGUGGGGAGCAAACAGG